GACGAACGCUGGCGGCGUGCCUAAUACAUGCAAGUCGAACGCUUCUUUCCUCCCGAGUGCUUGCACUCAAUUGGAAAGAGGAGUGGCGGACGGGUGAGUAACACGUGGGUAACCUACCCAUCAGAGGGGGAUAACACUUGGAAACAGGUGCUAAUACCGCAUAACAGUUUAUGCCGCAUGGCAUAAGAGUGAAAGGCGCUUUCGGGUGUCGCUGAUGGAUGGACCCGCGGUGCAUUAGCUAGUUGGUGAGGUAACGGCUCACCAAGGCCACGAUGCAUAGCCGACCUGAGAGGGUGAUCGGCCACACUGGGACUGAGACACGGCCCAGACUCCUACGGGAGGCAGCAGUAGGGAAUCUUCGGCAAUGGACGAAAGUCUGACCGAGCAACGCCGCGUGAGUGAAGAAGGUUUUCGGAUCGUAAAACUCUGUUGUUAGAGAAGAACAAGGACGUUAGUAACUGAACGUCCCCGGACGGGAUCUAACCAGAAAGCCACGGCUAACUACGU
This 507-nucleotide ribosomal RNA is filed under the name uncultured bacterium. RNAcentral's name for it is "partial 16S ribosomal RNA". It matches the Rfam family "Bacterial small subunit ribosomal RNA", at positions 28 to 506 of the family's 1533-position model. The record is from RNAcentral.